GAUGAAGAACGUAGCGAAAUGCGAUACUUGGUGUGAAUUGCAGAAUCCCGUGAACCAUCGAAUCUUUGAACGCAAGUUGCGCCCGAAGCCAUUAGGCCGAGGGCACGCCUGCCUGGGCGUCACACGUCGUUGCCCCCCCAUCUACUCCUUCGGGAUUGCGGGGGGCGGAUGAUGGCCUCCCGUGCGCCUCGUCGCGCGGUUGGCAUAAAUACCAAGUCCUCGGCGACGCACGCCACGACAAUCGGUGGUUGCGAAACCUCGGUUGCCCGUCGUGUGCGGUCGUCGCGCAUCGAGGGCUCGAAAAAAUUGCCGGGCUCCGGCUCGGCUUUCAACGCGACCCCAGGUCAGGCGGGGUUACCCGCUGAAUUUAAGCAUAUCAAUAAGCGGAGGA
This 391-nucleotide unclassified non-coding RNA is filed under the name soil metagenome. Its description in RNAcentral is "partial contains 5.8S ribosomal RNA, internal transcribed spacer 2, and large subunit ribosomal RNA". The stretch from base 1 to 122 matches the Rfam family "5.8S ribosomal RNA", at positions 35 to 154 of the family's 154-position model. The record is from RNAcentral.